GAUGAACGCUGGCGGCGUGCCUAAUACAUGCAAGUCGAGCGAACAGACGAGGAGCUUGCUCCUCUGACGUUAGCGGCGGACGGGUGAGUAACACGUGGAUAACCUACCUAUAAGACUGGGAUAACUUCGGGAAACCGGAGCUAAUACCGGAUAAUAUAUUGAACCGCAUGGUUCAAUAGUGAAAGACGGUUUUGCUGUCACUUAUAGAUGGAUCCUCGCCGCAUUAGCUAGUUGGUAAGGUAACGGCUUACCAAGGCAACGAUGCGUAGCCGACCUGAGAGGGUGAUCGGCCACACUGGAACUGAGACACGGUCCAGACUCCUACGGGAGGCAGCAGUAGGGAAUCUUCCGCAAUGGGCGAAAGCCUGACGGAGCAACGCCGCGUGAGUGAUGAAGGUCUUCGGAUCGUAAAACUCUGUUAUUAGGGAAGAACAAAUGUGUAAGUAACUAGGCACGUCUUGACGGUACCUAAUCAGAAAGCCACGGAUAACUACGUG
Molecule: ribosomal RNA, 497 nt
Filed under: uncultured bacterium
Lineage: Bacteria
Description: partial 16S ribosomal RNA
Rfam family: Bacterial small subunit ribosomal RNA
Source: RNAcentral